RNAcentral lists this ribosomal RNA (274 nucleotides) under uncultured bacterium. RNAcentral's name for it is "partial 16S ribosomal RNA". It matches the Rfam family "Bacterial small subunit ribosomal RNA", at positions 523 to 796 of the family's 1533-position model. The record is from RNAcentral.
AUACGGAGGGAGCGAGCGUUAAUCGGAAUUACUGGGCGUAAAGCGCGCGUAGGCGGUUAUUCAAGUUGGGCGUGAAAGCCCGGGGCUCAACCCCGGAAUUGCAUUCGAAACUGCUUGGCUCGAGUCUCGGAGAGGAGGGCGGAAUUCCCGGUGUAGAGGUGAAAUUCGUAGAUAUCGGGAGGAACACCAGUGGCGAAGGCGGCCCUCUGGACGAUGACUGACGCUGAGGUGCGAAAGCGUGGGUAGCGAACAGGAUUAGAUACCCCAGUAGUCC